CCUACGGGAGGCAGCAGUGGGGAAUAUUGCGCAAUGGGGGAAACCCUGAUGCAGCGACGCCGCGUGAGUGAUGAAGUUUCUCGGUACGUAAAGCUCUGUCAUCAGGGAAGAAAAUGACGGUACGUAACUAAGAAGCCCCUGCGAACUACUGGCCAGCAGCCGCGGGAAUACUUAGUGGGCAAGCGUUAUCCGGAUUGACUGUGUGUAACGGGAGCGUAGACGGCAGUACAUGUCUGGUGUGAAAGCCCGCGGCUUAACCCCGGAACUGCUUUGGAAACUGGGAGGCGGGAGUGCAGGAGAGGUAAGCGGAAUUCCAAGUGUAGCGGUGAAAUGCGCAGAGAUUAGGAGGAACACCGGUGGCGAAGGCGGCUUACUGGACUGUAACUGACGUUGAGGUGCGAAAGCGUGGGGAGCAAACAGGAUUAGAUACCCGAGUAGUC
This 440-nucleotide ribosomal RNA is filed under the name uncultured bacterium. Its description in RNAcentral is "partial 16S ribosomal RNA". It matches the Rfam family "Bacterial small subunit ribosomal RNA", at positions 338 to 795 of the family's 1533-position model. The record is from RNAcentral.